CUCCCUGUAGUAAAAUGGAUAUUACAAGCCCCUCCUAAGGGCUAGUUCCAGGUUCGAUUCCUGGUGGGGAGGCCA
RNAcentral lists this transfer RNA (75 nucleotides) under Betaproteobacteria bacterium HGW-Betaproteobacteria-22. RNAcentral's name for it is "tRNA-Arg". It matches the Rfam family "tRNA". Rfam says of the family: Transfer RNA (tRNA) molecules are approximately 80 nucleotides in length. Their secondary structure includes four short double-helical elements and three loops (D, anti-codon, and T loops). The record is from RNAcentral. RNAcentral also lists the same sequence under 1 other name. Lineage: Bacteria; Pseudomonadati; Pseudomonadota; Betaproteobacteria.